ACGAACGCUGGCGGCGUGCUUAACACAUGCAAGUCGAACGGAAAGGCCCUGCUUUUGUGGGGUGCUCGAGUGGCGAACGGGUGAGUAACACGUGAGUAACCUGCCCUUGACUUUGGGAUAACUUCAGGAAACUGGGGCUAAUACCGGAUAGGAGCUCCUGCUGCAUGGUGGGGGUUGGAAAGUUUCGGCGGUUGGGGAUGGACUCGCGGCUUAUCAGCUUGUUGGUGGGGUAGUGGCUUACCAAGGCUUUGACGGGUAGCCGGCCUGAGAGGGUGACCGGGCCAUAUGGGAAAGGAGAAGCGCCCCAGCCCCCGCGGGGGGGAAGGGGGGGGAAAAUUUGAAAAAGGGGGGGAAGCCGGAGGCCGCACCCCCGGGUGGGGGAUGACGCCUUUGGGGUUGUACCCCUUUUUCGCCUGGAACGAAGGGGGGGUGAGGGUAAGGGGAAAAGAAGCACCGCCUAACUACGU
This 467-nucleotide ribosomal RNA is filed under the name uncultured bacterium. RNAcentral's name for it is "partial 16S ribosomal RNA". It matches the Rfam family "Bacterial small subunit ribosomal RNA", at positions 29 to 506 of the family's 1533-position model. The record is from RNAcentral.